Molecule: ribosomal RNA, 253 nt
Filed under: uncultured bacterium
Lineage: Bacteria
Description: partial 16S ribosomal RNA
Rfam family: Bacterial small subunit ribosomal RNA
Source: RNAcentral
UACGUAGGGGGCAAGCGUUAUCCGGAUUUACUGGGUGUAAAGGGAGCGUAGACGGAAAGGCAAGUCAGAAGUGAAAACCCAAGGCUCAACCAUGGGACUGCUUUUGAAACUGUCGAACUAGAGUACGGGAGAGGUAAGAGGAAUUCCUAGUGUAGCGGUGAAAUGCGUAGAUAUUAGGAGGAACACCAGUGGCGAAGGCGUCUUACUGGACCGAAACUGACGUUGAGGCUCGAAAGCGUGGGGAGCAAACAGG